Molecule: long non-coding RNA, 1588 nt
Filed under: Homo sapiens (human)
Lineage: Eukaryota; Metazoa; Chordata; Mammalia; Primates; Hominidae
Description: non-protein coding lnc-SERHL2-1:14
Source: RNAcentral
ACACUCCCCUCCUGCUACCUAGGCAGGCGUGAGGGUGUGACGGCCGCGCAUUCGCCAGACGAGAGCGAUGGCUGAGAACGCCGCACCAGGUCGCCUUAGACUCACCAGGUCGCCUUAGACUUAGAUGGGACGGGGAGGCCUCGCGCGAGCGCCCCAUUGCCCACCCACCUGGUUGGGACUGUGGAGGAGGGCGGAUGGAGUGGAGGGUUCACCGACCGCGUCGCCCUUCUGGGUGUCGCAGCUCCUUCCUCGGCAGUCCCGGGGCGUGAGAGCGCGACCGGCCGGGAGUUGGGGGACCCGGGACACGGCCGCACGUGGCCUCCCAGGGUUCUAGGAGACCCUGAGUUAGCCGGGCGUGCGCGUGGGUGUCGGGGGCGCGCAGGUCUCCAGCCUUGCAGAGACGGAGGAGGCUGCCAGCUGUGGGGGGCGGCGGUGGGUCCUGGAGUCCCACCGCCUGCCCUAAAUUUCCACUCCGCCCCUGUCGCCCAGUGUGACCUUGGGCAUGUACUGCAGCUCCCAGUGCCUCAGUUUCCUGCUCUGUGGAGGGAGAGUGACAGUGCUCCCACCUGCUGCGUGUGUGAGGGUUUGGCACCCCUCUGGCCUUUGUGAAAGGCUUAGGAAACGGGCUGUUUCUUUACUCCGGUUUUACAGGAAAGGAAACUGAGGCUCAAGACGUUUUAGUAACUUCUCCAAGGUUACCCAGCCAGCAAGUGAUGGGGUCCAGGCCUGACCAGCGCCCCCGCCCCAGCACAUUCUAGAAGGUUCUGCCCCAGUUUAAAUGGGGUGCAUGCUCUGAGGCCUGUCACAGCUUUUUCCGGCUUAGCUUCUCUGUCCCUCCUCUGGGAGUCUCCACUCCCAUGUCUGACUCUCUCCCCAUAACCUUCUGGGGCAGCUAAGGGUCUGAGUCCCUCUGGACAUGAGCCCCUGGCUCAAGCACAUCAGGGAGAGAUAAGGGGCUCAGGGAGCACCAGCUUCAUGGGUGAAUGAAUGAAGGAAUGAAAGACCCGGCUGUGUCUUUCAGGUCUGAUCUCAGAGCUGAAGCUGGCUGUGCCCUGGGGCCACAUCGCAGCCAAAGCCUGGGGCUCCCUGCAGGGCCCUCCAGUUCUCUGCCUGCACGGCUGGCUGGACAAUGCCAGCUCCUUCGACAGACUCAUCCCUCUUCUCCCGCAAGACUUUUAUUACGUUGCCAUGGAUUUCGGAGGUCAUGGGCUCUCGUCCCAUUACAGCCCAGGUGUCCCAUAUUACCUCCAGACUUUUGUGAGUGAGAUCCGAAGAGUUGUGGCAGCCUUGAAAUGGAAUCGAUUCUCCAUUCUGGGCCACAGCUUCGGUGAGUACAGUGGCCAGGAGCUGACCGGGCCCGGAGUAGGGCUGGGAGGGAAGGAUAGGAGCUGCUGCCCCACCCCUUUCCCCUGCACUUAUGAGAUCUGCAAAGAGAGAUGAGAGGGUCAGUCAGAGGUUGACCACUGUACCCUCUGACCUCAGGCAACUGCCGCAAGGGACACAGGGAUGAGGGAAAUGUGGUCUUUUGAGUGGUCAGGUCUGAUGAAGGGGACAUCAUGGCCCAGAUGCUGAGCCCCCAGCCACCCAU